This 427-nucleotide ribosomal RNA is filed under the name uncultured bacterium. RNAcentral describes it as "bacterial SSU rRNA". It matches the Rfam family "Bacterial small subunit ribosomal RNA", at positions 355 to 774 of the family's 1533-position model. The record is from RNAcentral.
UGGGGAAUUUUGGACAAUGGGCGCAAGCCUGAUCCAGCAAUGCCGCGUGCAGGAUGAAGGCCUUCGGGUUGUAAACUGCUUUUGUACGGAGCGAAAAGGUCUGCCCUAAUACGGUGGGCUCAUGACGGUACCGUAAGAAUAAGCACCGGCUAGCUACGUGCCAGCAGCCGCGGUAAUACGUAGGGUGCGAGCGUUAAUCGGAAUUACUGGGCGUAAAGCGUGCGCAGGCGGUUAUAUAAGACAGAGGUGAAAUCCCCGGGCUCAACCUGGGAACUGCCUUUGUGACUGCAUAGCUAGAGUAUGGUAGAGGGGGAUGGAAUUCCGCGUGUAGCAGUGAAAUGCGUAGAUAUGCGGAGGAACACCGAUGGCGAAGGCAAUCCCCUGGACCUGUACUGACGCUCAUGCACGAAAGCGUGGGGAGCAAACA